This 494-nucleotide ribosomal RNA is filed under the name uncultured bacterium. RNAcentral's name for it is "partial 16S ribosomal RNA". It matches the Rfam family "Bacterial small subunit ribosomal RNA", at positions 28 to 507 of the family's 1533-position model. The record is from RNAcentral.
GACGAACGCUGGCGGCGUGCUUAACACAUGCAAGUCGAACGGAAAGGCCUGCUUUCCCUUGUGUAUUGCGGGUACUCGAGUGGCGAACGGGUGAGUAACACGUGAGUUAUCUGCCCCCAACUUGGGUAUAAGCCUGGGAAACUGGGUCUAAUUCCCGAUAGGACUGCAGGGUGGUGCCUGUGGUGGAAAACGAUUUUCUAGUGGGUGGGGAUGAGCUCGCGGCCUAUCAGCUUGUUGGUGGGGUAAUGGCCUACCAAGGCGGCGACGGGUAGCCGGCCUGAGAUCGUGGACGGCCAAAUUGGGACUGGGACACGGCCCAGACGGCUACGGGAGGCAGGAGUGGGGAGUAAUGCAGCGCGGGCGGGAGCCUGAUGUAGCGAGGCGGCGUGGGGGAUGACGGCCUUGGGGUGGUAAACUCCUGGGGACCGCGAGGAAGCCACCUGGUUGGAAGGGUGGUGACGGUAGUGGUAGAAGAAGCACCGGCUAACUACGUG